UGAUUUACUGACUUAUAAGUU
This 21-nucleotide non-coding RNA is filed under the name Caenorhabditis elegans. Lineage: Eukaryota; Metazoa; Nematoda; Chromadorea; Rhabditida; Rhabditidae. The record is from RNAcentral.